RNAcentral lists this ribosomal RNA (812 nucleotides) under Arthrobotrys eudermata. RNAcentral describes it as "LSU rRNA". It matches the Rfam family "Eukaryotic large subunit ribosomal RNA", at positions 137 to 969 of the family's 3401-position model. The record is from RNAcentral. Lineage: Eukaryota; Fungi; Ascomycota; Orbiliomycetes; Orbiliales; Orbiliaceae.
UCCGAGUUGUAAUUUGAAGAGGAUGUUUCGGUGCGGCCUGGGCCUAAGUUCCUUGGAACAGGACGUCAUGGAGGGUGAGAAUCCCGUACAUGGCUGCAGGCUUGUCAUCAUGUGAAACUCCUUCGAAGAGUCGAGUUGUUUGGGAAUGCAGCUCAAAAUGGGUGGUAAAUUUCAUCUAAAGCUAAAUAUUGGCGGGAGACCGAUAGCGCACAAGUAGAGUGAUCGAAAGAUGAAAAGCACUUUGAAAAGAGAGUCAAACAGUACGUGAAAUUGUUGAAAGGGAAGUGCUUGCAAUCAGACUCGCCGUCAGUUGAUCAGCCAUCCUUCUGGUUGGUGCACUCUGCUGGCGGCGGGCCAGCAUCAGUUGGGGCGGUGGGACAAAGGCGGCAGGAAUGUGGCUCGCUUCGGUGAGUGUUAUAGCCUGCUGUGUCAUGCCACCAGCCCCGAUUGAGGUCCGCGGUUCGCCUAGGAUGCUGGCUUAAUGGUUGUAAGCAACCCGUCUUGAAACACGGACCAAGGAGUCUAACAUCUAUGCGAGUCUUUGGGUGUAAAACCCAUGGGCGAAAUGAAAGUGAACGGAGGUGGGAGUCCUCGGAUGCACCAUCGACCGAUCCUGAUGUUCUCGGAUGGAUUUGAGUAGGAGCAUAGCUGUUGGGACCCGAAAGAUGGUGAACUAUGCCUGAAUAGGGUGAAGCCAGAGGAAACUCUGGUGGAGGCUCGCAGCGGUUCUGACGUGCAAAUCGAUCGUCAAAUUUGGGUAUAGGGGCGAAAGACUAAUCGAACCAUCUAGUAGCUGGUUCCUGCCGAAGUUU